UACGGAGGGUGCAAGCGUUAUCCGGAUUUACUGGGUUUAAAGGGUGCGUAGGUGGGUAUUUAAGUCAGCGGUGAAAUCUCCAGGCUUAACCUGGAAAUUGCCAUUGAUACUAUUUAUCUUGAAUUAUCUGGAGGUGAGCGGAAUAUGUCAUGUAGCGGUGAAAUGCUUAGAUAUGACAUAGAACACCAAUUGCGAAGGCAGCUUACUACACAGUGAUUGACACUGAGGCACGAAAGCGUGGGGAUCAAACAGG
This 253-nucleotide ribosomal RNA is filed under the name uncultured prokaryote. RNAcentral describes it as "partial 16S ribosomal RNA". It matches the Rfam family "Bacterial small subunit ribosomal RNA", at positions 524 to 776 of the family's 1533-position model. The record is from RNAcentral.